CACAGUUUAGUCCACAUGUGUUUGCAAACUUAGCCCAAUAAAAAAAAAACUGAAUGCCGACCUGGAAUUAGUCUACGACUCAAUAGCCGUGGAAUCCAUCCCGGCCACGGUCGGAGGAAGUGACUCCGCCGCGGGCCGCCAUCUUCGUCGGUGAUCUUUUCUCCUCAAGUCAACAAUCAAGGCAACGAUCUACCACAAAACUUUGUUGAUCUACCAGAUGGCGAUCAAGACAACGAUCAAGAAAAUGUACAAGGCAAUAAUCUUAGAGAUGCAAUAGCACAAGAAACGUGGAAUGAUUACCAACAACAUAAAAAUUAGUGGUACAUUUGUUGAGCUAUUUGUUCGUAGAAACUGUCUUUGUUUAUUGUUGCUUCCUAAUGAAAAACAUGUUACAGAUGAGCUUACUUUGAAGAUAUGGUUCCCUGUAACCACUAUGCCUCCUAAUUAUGUCAUGUUGCUGUUUAUGUCAUAUAUGUUGCUUCCUAAUUAGUGGUACAUUUGUUGUGGUAUUGUUGCUUCCUAA
This is a long non-coding RNA of Zea mays, 523 nucleotides long. RefSeq lists it as uncharacterized. NCBI's taxonomy places the organism in Eukaryota, Viridiplantae, Streptophyta, Magnoliopsida, Poales, Poaceae. The transcript is spliced from 2 exons. The record is from RefSeq and is a predicted model, not a curated record.